This 253-nucleotide ribosomal RNA is filed under the name uncultured bacterium. RNAcentral's name for it is "partial 16S ribosomal RNA". It matches the Rfam family "Bacterial small subunit ribosomal RNA", at positions 524 to 776 of the family's 1533-position model. The record is from RNAcentral.
UACGUAGGGUCCGAGCGUUGUCCGGAAUUAUUGGGCGUAAAGGGCUCGUAGGCGGUUUGUCGCGUCGGGAGUGAAAACACCGGGCUUAACUCGGUGCUUGCUUUCGAUACGGGCAGACUGGAGGUAUGCAGGGGAGAACGGAAUUCCUGGUGUAGCGGUGAAAUGCGCAGAUAUCAGGAGGAACACCGGUGGCGAAGGCGGUUCUCUGGGCCAUUACUGACGCUGAGGAGCGAAAGCGUGGGGAGCGAGCAGG